AGGGAAUCUUCGGCAAUGGGGGAAACCCUGAUGCAGCAACGCCGCGUGAGUGAUGACGGCCUUCGGGUUGUAAAACUCUGUCUUUGGGGGCGAUAAUGACGGUACCCAAGGAGGAAGCCACGGCUAACUACGUGCCAGCAGCCGCGGUAAUACGUAGGUGGCAAGCGUUGUCCGGAUUUACUGGGCGUAAAGGGAGCGUAGGUGGAUAUUUAAGUGGGAUGUGAAAUACUCGGGCUUAACCUGGGUGCUGCAUUCCAAACUGGAUAUCUAGAGUGCAGGAGAGGAAAGGAGAAUUCCUAGUGUAGCGGUGAAAUGCGUAGAGAUUAGGAAGAAUACCAGUGGCGAAGGCGCCUUUCUGGACUGUAACUGACACUGAGGCUCGAAAGCGUGGGGAGCAAAC
RNAcentral lists this ribosomal RNA (400 nucleotides) under uncultured bacterium. RNAcentral describes it as "bacterial SSU rRNA". It matches the Rfam family "Bacterial small subunit ribosomal RNA", at positions 356 to 773 of the family's 1533-position model. The record is from RNAcentral.